RNAcentral lists this small RNA (70 nucleotides) under Colemanosphaera angeleri. Its description in RNAcentral is "tscA". Lineage: Eukaryota; Viridiplantae; Chlorophyta; Chlorophyceae; Chlamydomonadales; Volvocaceae. The record is from RNAcentral.
AAAAAUAAAUAAUGUAAAUUCCUACUUCACCUAGGUUUUAUGUCAAUCUCAAAACAGGAAAAAUCUCUUU